RNAcentral lists this ribosomal RNA (301 nucleotides) under uncultured bacterium. RNAcentral describes it as "partial 16S ribosomal RNA". It matches the Rfam family "Bacterial small subunit ribosomal RNA", at positions 509 to 807 of the family's 1533-position model. The record is from RNAcentral.
CAGUAGCCGCGGGAAAACGUAGGUGGCAAGCGUUGUCCGGAAUUAUUGGGCAUAAAGGGCUCGCAGGCGGUUUCUUAAGUCUGAUGUGAAAGCCCCCGGCUCAACCGGGGAGGGUCAUCGGAAACUGGGAAGCUUGAGUGCAGAAGAGGAGAGUGGAAUUCCACGUGUAGCGGUGAAAAGCGUAGAGAUGUGGAGGAACACCAGUGGCGAAGGCGACUCUCUGGUCUGUAACUGACGCUGAGGAGUGAAAGCGUGGGGAGCGAACAGGAUUAGAUACCCCAGUAGUCCCUGUCUCUUAUAC